Molecule: non-coding RNA, 230 nt
Organism: Pelobates cultripes (western spadefoot toad)
Lineage: Eukaryota; Metazoa; Chordata; Amphibia; Anura; Pelobatidae
Source: the annotation of a GenBank genome assembly
UUUUUUUUUAAACUUUAUGAAAUGUGAAGAUAAUGCAUUUCGGUAUUCUGAUACGGUUUACUAUGUCUCAAUCAGGGUUAUUCACUAAACGUUAUAUUGUAGCAAGUUAAAUGUCAAAUUGCUAAAUAUGGGCGACAAUAUACAAGCACAGUAAAAUAUUUUAAGUUUCCUUUCACUACUACAAGCAAGGGCCGAAACAUCACGUAUGGGUCAAUGGCUUAGUAGAAAAG